AUUACCGAGUUUACAACUCCCAAACCCCUGUGAACAUACCACUUGUUGCCUCGGCGGAUCAGCCCGCUCCCGGUAAAACGGGACGGCCCGCCAGAGGACCCCUAAACUCUGUUUCUAUAUGUAACUUCUGAGUAAAACCAUAAAUAAAUCAAAACUUUCAACAACGGAUCUCUUGGUUCUGGCAUCGAUGAAGAACGCAGCAAAAUGCGAUAAGUAAUGUGAAUUGCAGAAUUCAGUGAAUCAUCGAAUCUUUGAACGCACAUUGCGCCCGCCAGUAUUCUGGCGGGCAUGCCUGUUCGAGCGUCAUUUCAACCCUCAAGCACAGCUUGGUGUUGGGACUCGCGUUAAUUCGCGUUCCUCAAAUUGAUUGGCGGUCACGUCGAGCUUCCAUAGCGUAGUAGUAAAACCCUCGUUACUGGUAAUCGUCGCGGCCACGCCGUUAAACCCCAACUUCUGAAUGUUGACCUCGGAUCAGGUAGGAAUACCCGCUGAACUUAAGCAUAUCAAUAG
RNAcentral lists this ribosomal RNA (510 nucleotides) under Fusarium oxysporum. RNAcentral's name for it is "eukaryotic LSU rRNA". The stretch from base 153 to 306 matches the Rfam family "5.8S ribosomal RNA". The record is from RNAcentral. Lineage: Eukaryota; Fungi; Ascomycota; Sordariomycetes; Hypocreales; Nectriaceae.